RNAcentral lists this ribosomal RNA (354 nucleotides) under uncultured bacterium. RNAcentral describes it as "bacterial SSU rRNA". It matches the Rfam family "Bacterial small subunit ribosomal RNA", at positions 1077 to 1429 of the family's 1533-position model. The record is from RNAcentral.
GGGUUAAGUCCCGCAACGAGCGCAACCCUUCGCCUUCAGUUGCCAUCGGGUAAGGUUGGGCACUAUGAAGGAACUGCCGGUGACAAGCCGGAGGAAGGUGGGGAUGACGUCAAGUCCUCAUGGCCCUUAUGGGCUGGGCUACACACGUGCUACAAUGGCGGUGACAACGGGAAGCCAGGUCGCGAGGCCGAGCCAAUCCUGAAAAGCCGUCUCAGUUCGGAUUGCACUCUGCAACUCGGGUGCAUGAAGGUGGAAUCGCUAGUAAUCGCGGAUCAGCAUGCCGCGGUGAAUACGUUCCCGGGCCUUGUACACACCGCCCGUCACAACCAUGGGAGUUGGCUUUACCCUUAAGCC